This 91-nucleotide transfer RNA is filed under the name Lactobacillus sp. RNAcentral describes it as "tRNA-Ser". It matches the Rfam family "tRNA". Rfam says of the family: Transfer RNA (tRNA) molecules are approximately 80 nucleotides in length. Their secondary structure includes four short double-helical elements and three loops (D, anti-codon, and T loops). RNAcentral also lists the same sequence under 2 other names. The record is from RNAcentral. Lineage: Bacteria; Bacillati; Bacillota; Bacilli; Lactobacillales; Lactobacillaceae.
GGAGGAUUACCCAAGUCCGGCUGAAGGGAACGGUCUUGAAAACCGUCAGGCGGGUUUUGCCCGCGCGUGGGUUCGAAUCCCACAUCCUCCU